AUGAAGAAAGCUAAUGCAAAACCAAGUUUGGCAGAAGAGGCAGCAGCGGCUGCAAAAGCAGCUGCGGCAGCAGCUGCUGAUGUUGCAAAACUUGGUUUUGCAUUAGCUUUCUUCAUGAGAAAAUACUUCAACGAAUUUAUGAAUUUGUUGGAUAUGCAAGUUCAGGAAAUGAGAUCAAUGAGCACCGCAAUACGUAAAUUGGAAGGACAAACUAAUAACCUUGGNNNNNNNNNCAACAUGAUACCAGCGAAAUCGGGAUUGCGUUAAAGUUCCCACAGAGGAAAUGGCACCAGUAGGAACAGAUGCUGCAGGUUGAAGAGCUUGCGUUUGAGCUGGUGGCUGAACAUUUGAUGUUGAUGUCACUUGCGCUUCUUG
RNAcentral lists this unclassified non-coding RNA (375 nucleotides) under Hevea brasiliensis (rubber tree). The record is from RNAcentral. Lineage: Eukaryota; Viridiplantae; Streptophyta; Magnoliopsida; Malpighiales; Euphorbiaceae.